GAGUUAGAGAGCGCGAGAUUUAUUUAUUUAAUUGACUUAUUUUACAGAGAUGAUAGUACAACACAAAGAACUCUCGAUCUGGAUAAUUGAUCCUUAGUUGAAAUUUGGCGGGAGUAUGACGAAUCGUUCAUGAAUCGACUAGAUCACAUGUGCGACUUGUGCGAAUAACUCGUCCGUGAAAGCACGGUCGCGGACGAGCGACGACUGAUCGCCAAGUCACUGCAAGCUCGCUGUGAAAAUACGAAAGCUCGAGGAAUGUCCGCGCAAUCUCGGACAAGCCGUUGCGAGGACAGCUCGUGUCGUUCUUGACUCGAUGAAAUGAGCUUUCCGUGUAGCGAACCGGGAGAACUCAUUGUUCCUGAUAUCUCCUAAUUAAUACCGGAAUUACACGAGCGUUCUCACUAUCAGUUUUGUAGAAUUUAUCCGUUUGGAAAGAAGAGAAAAAGAGGUGCGUUUCGUAAAUAUUAUUGAAGAACGCCAAGAGCGUCGAGAGAGAAGUGAUCUUUUAAUUGCGAGAGGGAGACCGUUCGAUAUCGUGGCCGUCACCGAGGUGAUCAUUUUCUCUUUCCCAGUAAUCCCAGAAGAUUUGUUGGGCUUUGCUAUUGCCUUUCCCUCCGUGGUGCUUGGAGGUUUACACGAGGUCCAAUAAGGAGGAAACAUUUCUCUCUCGGCAAUCCGAUUACUGCGUAUAACAGUAAAUACAUCUGAAAUCAAGAACUGCGGAGAUCGAUCGAUACAGUUUAUCACCUUAAUACGCAGCUACGAGCAAGGCCAUUCACGCAACGAAAGCUCCACCGCUCUUUGUAGGUCUUCGUGGCCGCUGACGUUCGCCUGAUGUUCGAUGUUUGAAGCGGAAGCGAAGACGAAGAUGCAUCAAGACAAAAAGACAGAAUGUGUCUACCUCUGGAUUUCUCUUAACACUUUGAACAUCAGCCGAAAGAUUAAAUCGAAGCCUGGAAUCAGUCAAUGUCUCUUUUACGAUUUCUCGAAUAUUGAGACGUAUGUCUCCGAGAAUGAAGAAACGCACAUCGCGAAUCGAUGCAACAAGACGCGAGUCCAUUUCUUCGCUGAACAGAGGAAGGAGAGAAGAGAAAGAAAAAAAGAGAAAGAGAGAGAGAGAGAGAGAGAGAGAAACUGAUUGAAAAUCUUCUUCGCUUCAGAAAGAGCGCGGAUGAGUGCAGGAUACAAUUUCCUCGCAGGAAAUUACGUCUACGAGUUGACGUCAGAAGAGCGCUUCGUUAAUACGCCGCUGUCCUCUACGCUUUUAAAAUGCACGCAGGAUCGAUAUUCAUUGUCACCGUAUCGAUGUCGUCUGUGGUGUUUAAGGUCCGAGGUAACAUACCACCGAUAUGUAACGGAGUUAUCAAUAAAGAAAAAGUAUUCUGACAGAAUCUCGACAGGCAGCAGGAAUUCACGGUCAACGUCGAGGUUCCUAGAGUUUUCGCGAGAUGCAAGACCAAAAUUUCAACUCCGAAGUUACCACCGAGACAUUGAUAAGACGGACAAGUGAACAUGCGACGUAUGCAUGCAGAUGAUAUACGUCUGCGUCUGUUGUGUCGAUUUGGCUGGCGACGUUGCAAUUAAUAGUUUUCGCUCGUACCUUACUUGUUCUAAUUAAGGCAUCACGAUAUCCCGGGACACAUCCCGGUAUCAGCCAAUACUUCUCGCAGGGUCGGCGCGAGAAAAUGAAUCUGAUAUCUCCUGGACUAAGUCUGUAUCUGCAUUAGAGGAUCCUUAUCU
RNAcentral lists this long non-coding RNA (1740 nucleotides) under Harpegnathos saltator (Jerdon's jumping ant). Its description in RNAcentral is "uncharacterized LOC105184080". Lineage: Eukaryota; Metazoa; Arthropoda; Insecta; Hymenoptera; Formicidae. The record is from RNAcentral.